GUCCACGCCGUAACGAUGAAUGCCAGCUGUUGGGUGCUUGCACCUCAGUAGCGCAGCUAACGCUUUGAGCAUUCCGCCUGGGAGUACGGUCGCAAGAUUAAACUCAAGGAAUUGACGGGGCCCGCACAAGCGGUGGAGCAUGUGGUUUAAUUCGAAGCAACGCGCAGAACCUUACCAUCCUUUGACAUGGCGUGUUACCCCAGAGAGAUUUGGGGUCCACUUCGGUGGCGCGCACACAGGUGCUGCAUGGCUGUCGU
RNAcentral lists this ribosomal RNA (257 nucleotides) under uncultured bacterium. RNAcentral's name for it is "partial 16S ribosomal RNA". It matches the Rfam family "Bacterial small subunit ribosomal RNA", at positions 793 to 1055 of the family's 1533-position model. The record is from RNAcentral.